GGGGAAAAGAAAAAAUCCAAGGUGCUGUGAAAAGAGGUCCUACAAAUAAGCUCAGCCUAAACUGGGGUCAUGCUCCUUGCCUGCUAUCGGGAGCUGAAUGAAAGCCCAAAAGCAGCUUCAAAAAACCUUCUAAGUCACAAGCCUGAGAUCCAAAGUGCCACACGCAGAGGAAGAGUUGUUCUUUGCAGGAGCAAAGAGAAGCCUUGUUUAAACUCUCAGGCCCGGUCUAGCCUGACUGGGAUUUGAGAUCUGCUCUCUCCUGCACCCCCAGCUCGCUUCACGUGUCCAGGUGCCUCAGUCCAGCUGCUGCACACUCUGACAUUUGUUCUCUUUUCCAGUCUGGGGAACUCACCCUCCCAGGCCCUGUGGGACAGGGAAGGUCUCCAGGCACUGACACUGGGGCUCCUCCAUGAAGGUACUUGAGGGUUUGAAGCCCGUGCUGGCUCUCAGGAUCACAGCCAGUGCCACGGAGAAGGAAUUCCUGGUACAGGACGUGGUUUGACUCGGGUCCAAACCCUGGUUUAAUCAAUUACUUCCUAUGUGGCCUGAAAUGAGUCACCACGCCUUGGUCCCUGGUUCCUUGGGACAAGGAGCCUGAGGGCUCCAGGCCCUACAAGGGGGGGCAUCACCUCAGAGAGGAGCUACUAAAAAAAAGUUCAUCUCUGUUUUGACACUCUGGAGGAGAGAUGGGGAUCCUGAGUUAUCACCUGCAUUGGAGGAACUAUUCACAGCCACCCCACCCGGGGAAAGAACCUCUGGAAAACAAGUUCUGCGAUGCCAUGGCACAGACAAAGGCCCUUUCAGAGCUGGCACACAAGGAACAAGCUUCCCUUGGGUCAAUAGAGCUGGCCUGGUUUCCAGGAGCUGCAGAUGGUGCCCGGCAGUAAAACCAGCAGGCCCGGCCACGGAGGAGAGGGAUGGCAGCCUGCUGCAGCUGGGAACAAGCUGAGGAUGCAAAAGCAACAGGUCCAGCUGGCAGGGGAGGGACGCAGAGAGCCAGGGAGAGGCUGGAAACAGCCAGAGCACACUGAGAUGCUGGUGGGGCAGCCCAGCCGGGGUGGGCUCACCACUGCAGGGGCUGUCCCUCGUGGCUGGAGUCCUCGCUGAGUUCAUCCACCCAGGAUGAAGCCCAGGACAGUGUGUGAUGACUAACGAGCACCUGGGAGUCAGGACUGCAAUUAAGCAGAGGCACCUCCACGGGUGGACAUAGCAAAGAGAUGAUGAGGAGGAAGAAGAACAAGCCCUCCAGAUCUGCACUGCUUCCCAGUGACUUGUGGCAGCUCCCUGCAGGACAGGAGCCAGCAGAGCCUCUCCAUGGCCAGCACCAGAGUCACAGUGUCCCAGGAUAUCAGCCAAGGUUCCUCCUCCCUGUCAGGGACCCACAGGCUGCCAGAGGGGAGCUGCUCUGAUUCACCUCUGAAGGCCUGGACUCACAAGACCAAUGAAGGACGUGUGUUAGAGAGAGGAGGGGAUGUGGCAGCCAGUGCUGGGGAGGAAACCCUUUCCUGGGGCUCUGAAUCAGUGUUUGAUCCAAUGGCACAGGGUCCCACCUGCACACAGCUCUUUUUGAAGUCCUACAAGCCAGACACUCCCCAACAAGAAUCUCAAGCUGAUCUAAGCUGUGCUCCCAGCCUGACUGGACGAGUCCCCUGUCCUGUCCCAGUUCAAACUCUUUGGGACAGGCAUUUCCUGUUCUCUGGAUGUUCAGUGACCAGGUGUGAGGGACAGUGGCUGUGCUCCCUGUGUGACAGCUCUGGGAUGAUCACAGGGUGUGGGUUACUGACCCUGCAGCAGAGCACAGCUGUGAAACAGCACUGCCCCUCUGGACACACAGCACUUUGACUUCCAGCAGGCUGUUCCUCCCCUUUGAAAGCAGCAUUUAAACAACCCCAGCAGACCCUGGCUGCCCAUCUCGCUGAAGAGCAGGGAAUAAACAACACAUCACAGAGGACAAGGUGCCAGAGCACUCAGCCAACACAUCCCUAGAAAAUUACCAGGCAGAGAAUUCCCAGGGCAAAAAAACCACAAGACAGCACUGGAAGAACAAAACAGCAUUUACCAGUUCUGAACUGACACCUAAAAUCCACCCUAAAUCUACAGGGACCAGAAGCUAAUAAACUUUAUUAGCAAAUAAAAGCUAAUACAGCUGAGUGACCAAAUGCACCAAGUGUCGUGGAAAAGGAAGCUAACACGGCAUCCAAAGGCUCCCUGUGCCAGAUUGUCAGGGGAAAGAAAGGAGAGAGCCAAGAAUCUGCACAGGAGGCUCUCCCAAAGCUCAGACUGAAAGAAGAAAGGGAGGUUGAUGUCUGGUGACCAUGGAUGCAGGACAUCCCACCUCCACCCUGCAGUCAGGCUGCUGGUGGUGGUGUCCCUGGAACAAGCAGCGCUCAGGAGGGAACGAGGCUCCCGGGUGCAGGACAUGUGCCAGGCAGGCAGGGAAGGAGAGAGCACUGCCAACACCUUCCUGCAGAGCAUCUGGGGCAGGCCCGGCUGCCGGCCAGACCGGCUCACCUGCUCAGCUCAGGAGUCACCAAAAGGAGAAGAGAGGUGCUGUCCACGACCACCAGCUGAGAGCACGGCCCACUCCUUCGGGGAAUUCGCGGCGCGGUUCCAUCCCCGCCCUGGAUCCCGCUCGCCUGUCGGGUGGCGUUCUAUGUCCGGUGAAGUGGCUGCUUCGGUCUGACACAGGAACUGUUUCUGUUCAGACUUGUAGAAUUAAAUGAAUUAAAUGAAUUAAAAAUUGCCUCCAGGCAGCGUGGCAUUUUCUGCACCAGA
Motacilla alba alba is the source of this 2775-nucleotide long non-coding RNA. RefSeq lists it as uncharacterized. The transcript is spliced from 2 exons. The record is from RefSeq and is a predicted model, not a curated record. NCBI's taxonomy places the organism in Eukaryota, Metazoa, Chordata, Aves, Passeriformes, Motacillidae.